UAUAGUAACUAUUAACUAUUGUCACAUGUGGUAUUGUUUGUUUUAAGACACACUUUGCCAUGCAGGCCACUGGAUGCUGACUACUGAAGGUUAGGUUGUGUGUGACUGUGACGUGCUCAGCACAGCUUCAUGUCUGGCCUUCCCACUCUGUUCAUAGCAUGUUACAUAUUCAAUCUUGAGUACCAGGAUGGGGCAAGCGUGUAUCUUGGAGUCCAAUGAAAGAUAUUAAUCCAGAGAGUGGAACAAGAAGAAGCAUCAUCUAAAAUGCCAGGAAACAGAAGAAACAGGUUGCAGUGAACCCACAUGUUGCCGCUCUACACAAUGAUGAAUUUUCAUUGUAAUCGAUGAAAAUUCUAGCUACUUGUUGUGCUCUGAUGGAUCAAGAUGUGGACCGUUUUACAGACUCACUUGGGCCUUGUUUUGCAAUUUUGUUUCAUGAUGGUAAUGUCGG
This is a long non-coding RNA of Triplophysa dalaica, 451 nucleotides long. RefSeq lists it as uncharacterized. The record is from RefSeq and is a predicted model, not a curated record. NCBI's taxonomy places the organism in Eukaryota, Metazoa, Chordata, Actinopteri, Cypriniformes, Nemacheilidae. The transcript has 3 exons.